AUGAUCAAAGCGUUUGGGUUUACACAGACUUAUGGAGAAGCCUGUGUUUACAAGAAAGUGAGUGGGAGCUCUGUAGCAUUUCUCAUAUUAUAUGUGGAUGACAUACUAUUGAUGGGAAAUGAUAUAGAAUUCUUGGAAAGUAUAAAGGCCUACUUGAAUAAAUGUUUUUCAAUGAAGGACCUUGGAGAAGCUGCUUAUAUAUUAGGCAUCAAGAUCUAUAGAGAUAGAUCAAGACGCCUCAUUGGUCUUUCACAGAGUACAUACCUUGACAAGAUAUUGAAGAAGUUCAAUAUGGAUCAGUCCAAGAAGGGGUUCUUGCCUGUAUUGCAAGGUGUGCAAUUGAGCACGGCUCAAUGCCCGACCACGGCAGAAGAUAGAGAAAAGAUGAGUGUCAUCCCCUAUGCCUCGGCCAUAGGGUCUAUUAUGUAUGUCAUGCUGUGUACCAGACCCGAUGUAAACCUUGUUGUAAGUUUGGUAGGAAGGUACCAAAGUAAUCCCGGCAUGGAACACUGGACAGUGGUCAAGAAUAUCCUGAAGUACCUGAAAAGGACUAAGGAUAUGUUUCUCGUGUAUGGAGGUGACGAAGAGCUCGUCGUAAAGGGUUACGUCGAUGCUAGCUUCGACACAAAUCUGGAUGACUCUAAGUCACAAACCGGAUACGUGUAUAUUUUGAAUGGAGGGGCAGUAAGCUGGUGCAGUUGCAAGCAAAGCGUCGUGGCGGGAUCUACAUGUGAAGCGGAGUACAUGGCGGCCUCAGAGGCAGCACAAGAAGCAAUCUGGAUGAAGGAGUUCAUUACCGACCUAGGGGUGAUUCCCAAUGCGUCGGGCCCGAUGACUCUCUUCUGUGACAACACUGGAGUUAUUGCCCUUGCCAAGGAGCCCAGGUUUCACAGGAAGACCAGGCAUAUCAAGCGUCGCUUCAACUCCAUUCGUGAAAGUGUUCAAAAUGGAGACAUAGAUAUUUGUAAAGUACAUACGGACCUGAAUGUAGCAGAUCCGUUGACUAAACCUCUCCCUAGAGCAAAACAUGAUCAACACCAGAACUCUAUGGGUGUUCGAUUCAUCACAAUGUAA
This 1074-nucleotide ribosomal RNA is filed under the name Triticum aestivum (bread wheat). RNAcentral's name for it is "partial small subunit ribosomal RNA". Lineage: Eukaryota; Viridiplantae; Streptophyta; Magnoliopsida; Poales; Poaceae. The record is from RNAcentral.